RNAcentral lists this ribosomal RNA (253 nucleotides) under uncultured Bacteroidales bacterium. Its description in RNAcentral is "partial 16S ribosomal RNA". It matches the Rfam family "Bacterial small subunit ribosomal RNA", at positions 524 to 776 of the family's 1533-position model. The record is from RNAcentral. Lineage: Bacteria; Pseudomonadati; Bacteroidota; Bacteroidia; Bacteroidales.
UACGGAGGAUUCAAGCGUUAUCCGGAUUUAUUGGGUUUAAAGGGUGCGUAGGUUGUUUUUUAAGUCAGCGGUGAAAGUUUGUGGCUCAACCAUAAAAUUGCCGUUGAAACUGGCGGGCUGGAGUUGGAGAGAAGUACGCGGAAUGCGCGGUGUAGCGGUGAAAUGCUUAGAUAUCGCGCAGAACCCCGAUUGCGAAGGCAGCGUACCGGCUCCACACUGACGCUGAGGCACGAAAGCGUGGGUAUCGAACAGG